Molecule: long non-coding RNA, 33991 nt
Filed under: Malus domestica (apple)
Lineage: Eukaryota; Viridiplantae; Streptophyta; Magnoliopsida; Rosales; Rosaceae
Description: long non-coding RNA (MDOM_LNC006252)
Source: RNAcentral
UCACUGUUCUCGAAGACAAUAUUGGCUUUAACAAAGUACUGUUGCGUCCUGGAGGUUUUAUUUACCUCCAAGCUGCUCAGAUUCUCAAAACUACAAAGCUUUAUGAUCUGUUGCACCACCCCUUUGCUCUCCUCCUCCUCUGAAAAAGGUUGACCCAAGAACUCAGCCAGUCUUUUCACAUUAGCAGAUGGCUCCUUCUUGAGAUCCUCAUAUUUUAAGAACCAAACUUGCUCUGGCAUUUCCAAGCUUGCUUUCCAAAACCCUAGCACAUGGUCCCAAUAGGGCCCGUAUGGGCAGACUCCGCGGCAGAAAAUCUCAAAUGCUUCUUCUAGUGAGAAGGGUGCAAGUCUUGUGUUUAUUGCUCUAACUUUGCUCGCGAAGAUCCAUGAAGAAAUGAAUACAUCUUUAGGGUUACGGUAAACGUAUACGAAUUUUGACACACUGCAAGUACUACUAGAAGUAGUCACAGAUUUUGGUAACAAAGAGUAAGGCAGGUGGGUCGCAAAGAGUUGAGUAGUGCUUGUAGGCGGAACAUAAUUAUUAAUCAUACCAUCACCACCGUCACGAUCGUCGUGAUCAUGAUCAAGUGAGGUUACUGGACGGUUGUGAUCAUGGUUUCCAAGCAUGUCAUCCAUAUCCAAGAAAGGAAAACAGUCGUGGGGCCCAGUUGUGAGCAAGGGAUGAUGAGGAGAGGCAGCAUCAUAGAGGCUUCUGUUGAGUGUAGCAAACAUGAGUGCUCUAAGCCACGUUGUACCUGAUUUCGGAAAUGAGGCCAAGAAGCAUAUGGGCGACGACCCACCGGCGGCGCUGGUAGAACUUCCAGUUGUUUGGAAUAAGUUGAAAUGGUGUUGAAGCUGCACCGCUGCUUUUAGGGCAAAGGUGGGGUUUAGCCAGACCCCUUUGUACUGAACCAAGUGUUAAGAGAUCCAACCCUUCUCUUUCGGAAGAUUUGGCAGCAUUUCUCUACAUAUUUCAACAUCAAUUUUCCGGUAGGCUUCCCGGUCUUCCUUCUCCUCAAUAUAAUUGGUUUUAGGAACAAUAGGUUGGGACGUCGAAGCUGAAGACAUUUGGGGGAUUAUGCAGGAUAUCUAGGUUUAGAAGCCUUACAUUUUUAUAUCUACUAAAGCUCAGUUGGCCUCCACUGUUCAUUAUGUGAGAGGGGCCACUGUUCACCAGCAGUGAACUCCCCAAGUUGCCUUCCCAUUCCUUCCUUGCCGGGCCUUUUCUCCCUCUCUGCUGCAGGAAAAUGACCUCUUACACUUAUCGUUACCCUUCUUUUCUUCGAGAUUCUUUUGCUCUUUGGCCACGUGUUGAUCAUCUUGUGUACUUUUUUUCCAUUAUGACUCCCUCUUUUAUUUUAUUUUUUACCUAAUCCACACUGACAGCAAUGGUACAUGCAUUUCCACCAAAAAAAUAAUUAAAAAAAUUACCUCAUCACACCUGGCAUCAAUGAUGCAUGCCUUGCCACCAAAAAAUAAUUAAAAAAACAAAAAUCUGGAACAUGCACAGAAACGCUGAGCAUGGAUACUGAGUGAGAUAGGAUGCCAACCUCAUGACAUCUAGAACAGUUCCCCACAACUGUUCAACACGUUUUUCCUUUCAUCUGCACAUCGCUCCUCGCAAAAGCCCUCGAUUUCUUCUUUGCUUUCUGUACUGUUUAUGUUUGCUACAGUAAAAUGUCCAUUUUGUCCUUAUUGGCCUCGCAUCUAUCCACCCGUUCCUCAUUUGUCUAUUCUUCUUUUUUUUUUUUAGAAAGUUUUAACGAAAAUCCCGCAAUAUUGUUCACUUUAACGAAAAAUCAAAUUUUUACACUAAAAAUUCAAACUUGAUACUAUUCAUUUUACCAUUUAUUUUGUUCUUAUCGUUAAAACUCAAAAUUUUCAAAUUUUUUUCAUUAGUUUUCAUUUUCUUUUAAUCCACGUACAUCAUUUGGGAGACAGAGAAAUCUAAAAUAAUAAUUAAAAAACUGGCGGUAGUAUAAAUUUUUUAUUUAAAAUGGGAGUUAAACCAGGCCAUGGCUCACUAAACAAUAACCCGUUAUAAAAAAAAAUUGGAUUCAUGGGAGCCAGGACCAAAAAAAUAUUUUUAAAAUGAGAAUUAAAGCAGGCUACAUGGUUUGUGGUAGCAAACAAUAAACAAUUAUAAAGCGAAUUGAAUGUAUGGAAAAACAGUUGUUCAAAAUUAUAAGAAGCUGGUUUAGUGCUCUUCUACCUGGAGAUGGAUUGUCUGCCCUCCUUUCUCUAUACCCUCCUCAUACCCUCCUGUUUUGUACGGUUACGGUUAAGACACGUCAACAUUUGUUUUUUGUCUUAUUAUUUUUAUAUAAAAAUUAAUAUAAAAUGUUGACGUGGCUUAACCGUGACCGCACAAAACAGGAGGGCAUGGGGAGAGUAUGGAAAGAGGAGGGCAGACAAUCCUUCUCCCUUCUACCCCACAUGUUUGCCCUUGUUUGAUGCCAGCUUGCCCGUUGCUUUUCUUCUUUAGCACAGCCUUUUCAUGCGUUCUCCACUGUUUUGCCAUGUGUCGAUCAUCUUAGAUAAGAGCAUCUUCAAAUGAGAUGUUAAAAGAUAAAUGUCAAAUGUUAAUUUGAUCGCUUAUGUGGCAAUGUCAGAUUUUCUCUUUUUCCAAUUGAUAUGUUUCUUUGUUAUAAAUGAUAUUUGUAUGACCAAUUUUAAAAAGAAAUCAAUUAAAAAAUAUUUUUCAAGAUUUAUAAUUGGUGCAUUAAUAGGAUCCACAUAAUAAACUAAUUAAAAAAAAUUGACAUCACAUUUUCUCAUAUGUCAAAGUUGAUAUAUGAAAACUCAUAUGUCAAUCUACAUAUGAUUGAUAUAUCGGUUGGAGUUCACUCCUAUCUUCAAAUUUGAUUACAUGAAAUUUCAUCUAGGAUUUGACAUCUCUUUGGAGAUUUGGAGAUGGUCUAAGUUCUCUUCAAUUGCAUCUCUCCAAAUCUCCUUCAGUUUCCAAAAUCUCCUUCAGUUUCCAUUUGCUUUCCUUUUCUCAACCUUUGGUUUCCGAUCUUCUCAUCUUUCUCAUUUUUCUCAGCCAAAUCAUAUGUGCAAAUUUCUUGCAUUUAAAACCCUUGAAAAAAAUAAAUAAUUGCUACAUCUUGCGUUUAAAAUCUCCGGGUCAGUACUGAUUUUGUUGAUUUUUCGAUUUUAUCAGGGUGGAUUUGUUACCUCCAAGGUCUACCUCUGUUUGGUGGUUAGUUUUUUUAACCUUUAUAGUAUUGCUGUUUUAUUUUUUUAUUUUUUAUUUUUUUGUAGUUUUCCAUGUUCAAGUGGGAUUUUUGUAUGAAUUUUUUUUUUCUUCUAAUUCAGAGUGUUUUCUUUAUAUCGUUUAUUAAGGGUAUAAAUGUAAAUGCAGAUAUAAAAUAUCCUACUUAGAUAUUGGAUAGAUAUUGGAUAGUUAGUUCUGUUAGUUAGUGGUGCUAAUGUAGUGGUGCUAUUUUCAUUAGUUGUUAUACUUGUAUGUAUACAGGUUGUAACUUUAUUCAAAGAUUCAAUGAAAAGAUUAUUUCCCAAUAUGGUAUCAACCGCCUUUCGUCUCACAACCUGAUCCAAACACGCUUCACUGCCUUGCGACUUUUCUUCUUCCCUCUUUCUGAUUGCGAUCGCCAUCUCGAUCUCCCAAACCCUAACCUUCUGCAUCAAUGGCGGCUCCUGCUUCUUCUUCUGAUUCUACUGCUCAUGUUCAUCCACCUCCGUUGCACUCCUCUGUCACGGUCUCUCCUCCGGUGAUUUCCUCCAUCACAAUUCAAAAUAUUUGAUCUAUGGUGCCAAUUAAGCUCACCACUACCAAUUACCUCACCUGGAGCGCUUUGUUUGCUCCUAUUUUUCGCCGCUACAAUCUCACCGGCAUUGUUGAUGGCUCAACACCUCUGCUGCCUCAAAUGCUACUGGAUGAUUCUGGCAAUCGCAUUUCUCUCAUUAAUCCUGAGUAUGUUUCUUGGUAUAAGAACGAUCAAAACAUUCUCAUCCGGCUCAAUUCUACACUAUCUGAAACCCUAAUUCCUUACACUGUUGGAGUUAAUUCUUCUUGCGAACUUUGGGCGAAAUUGGAGUCACGAUUGGCUGCUGCUUCUCAAUCUCACAUUCAUGAUCUUCGAUCGCGUCUGCGUAACAUUACAAAAGGUGAAUCUACAGCAGCUCAAUUUCUCCAACAAAUUGAGGAAAUCGCAGAUGCUCUUGCGAGUGCUGGAGCUCCGAUGGCUGAUUCCGAGCUCAUUUCUGUCACACUUCAUGGACUGCCAUCAGAGUAUGAUUCUUUUGUUGAUGUUUUUCAAUUUCGCAUCGGAUCGAUUACCAUUGAUGAAUUGCAUGGCCUUCUUCUGAGCAAAGAAAUUCAGUUGAAUAAUCGCAAGAAAUCGCCUCUCACUGCUCCUUUCCAGGAGUUUAAUUCUUCUACGGGUCUUCUUCCCACACCAUCUAUGGCUCCUUAGGCUUACACUGCUCCGGUUCAUUCUUCAUAGAAUUUCUCUCAAGGUUGUUAUUCUAAUUACUCUCAAAAUCGUGGCAGUUCUUCAAACCCUAGAAAUUUUCAAGACAUGGGCAAUUUCAGAGGCAAUUUUCAACGCAACAAUUACCGACCGAAUAAUCAACGUUCUUCUUGUGGUGGUCGUUCUUUCUCUGGCAAACACACUCUUUGCCAAAUCUGCCAUCAUUAUGAUCAUGAAGCAUUUGAUUGUCCACAACGCAUGAAUCCCAGCUACACUAGAUCUUCAUCUCACUCUGCCAUGGUUGCUCACACUAGUUCUACUUCAUCUGCUCCAACUUGGCUUGUUGAUUCUGGCGCCAGUCCCACAUGACCAAUAACUACACCAAUCUGCAAAAUCCUGAGACUUCUCAUGGUCCUGAAUAGGUCUACAUUGGUGAUGUCAAAGGUUUGCCCAUUCACUCUAGUUCUUCUUCUUUAAAUACUCGUCACCAUUGUUUUCAGUUGAAAAAUGUUCUUCAUGUGCCUGAUUUAAAGCAAAAUUUGUUAUCUGCGAAUCAAUUUCUUCUUGACAAUUGGUGUUCCAUGCAUCUUUAUCCUUUUUACUUCACUGUGAAGGAUAUUUCUUCGAGGAAGAUGCUUUUUAGUGGACCAGUUCGUGAUGGCUUCUACCCUUUUCAUGCAUCGUCUCCUGCUGCUGGUUCUCAACACUUGUUUGCUGCUACUACAAUGGCUUCUCAGGAUCUUUGGCACAAGAGACUUGGCCAUCCCUCUACCAAAAUUUUAAAUAAAUUGGUCUUUACUUCGUGUAUUUCUAUGUCUCGUACUAUGAAUAACACUUUCUGUUCAGAUUGUGUUGUAAGCAAAAGCUCUAAGCUUCCUUUUGUUUCUGGUUCUUGUACUACAAGUAAGCCAUUAGAGCUUCUUCACAUGGAUGUCUGGGGACCAGCUCCUAUUUCCUCUGUACAUGGUUUUCGAUACUAUGUGAUAAUUGUUGAUGACUAUACAAAAUAUUCUUGGCUUUAUCCUCUGAAGUUCAAGUCUGAUGUUCUUUCUACAUUUGUUCACUUCAAGUCUCUAAUUGAAAAUAAGUUGGGUGUCAAAGUUAUUUCUAUUCGUUCAGAUUUUGGUGGUGAAUUCUUGAGCUCUAAGUUCUCUCAGUUCUUACUUGAACAAGGUAUUACACAUCAACUCAGCUGCCCUCACACUCCCAAGCAAAAUGGGUGUGUUGAGCGCAAGCACAUACACCUUGUUGAAACUGCCCAUACUCUCUUAACAGUCUCUAAAGUUCCACAUCAAUAUUGGGAUCAUGCAUUCUCCACAGCAAUUUACCUCAUCAACAGAAUGCCUACUGCCAUAAAUGUAUCUCCAUGGGAAUCUUUAUUCAAGAAAGCUCCAUAGUAUACUUCUCUCAAAGUAUUUGGUUGUAGUUGUUUUCCUUGGUUGAAGCCUUACACUACCUCUAAGUUAGAACCAAAGAGCAAGCAUUGUGUUUUCUUGGGGUACAGUUUAAAUCACAAAGGGUACAUAUGUCUAGAUCAUUUAUCUCACAUAAUCUAUAUUUCUCGGCAUGUCAUAUUUGAUGAACUCAAUUUCCCUUUUCAUAAUUCUUUUCCAUCCUCAUCUUCUCAGCCUAUAUCUUCCUCACCCUUACAUACUAUACCAUCUAAUCUCACAUUUAAUUCCUUUCAGUAUUCCAACCCAACAUCACCUCAUACAUCUCCUUCACCACAUACAUUUCCUCCCCCACAUCCAUCUACAUCCCAACAACUACUUACAACUUCUUCACCAAAUUCAUAUCCCUCACAAAUACGUCCCAACAACUAAAUAUCUCUUCUUCAUCACUGUCAUCUCCUAUUCUUAACAUUCAUCCAAUGCAGAAUCGUUCCAAGUCUGGCAUUUUUAAACCUAAAGCUUUGCUUGCCACUAAACAUAACCUUCCAUCUCAUCUCAGUGUUGACUUUGUUCCUUCCACCUAUCAUCAAACAUCCAAAUAUUCUCACAGGAGGAAGGCAAUGCAAGAAGAGUUCAAUGUUUUUCUGAACAAUGAUACCUGGUUCUUGGUUCCCUAUUCUUAUUCUCAGAAUCUGGUAGGUUGCAAAUAGGUAUUUCGAAUCAAACGCAAGCCUGGUGGUUCUAUAGAUCGGUAUAAGGCACGACUGGUUGCAAAGGGGUUUCAUCAACAGGAAGGGUUAGACUACACUGAGACAUUCAGCCCCGUUGCCAAACCUGUCACUACUUGACUUUUACUCAUUUUAGCUGCUCAAUAUGAUUGGUUUCUCAACCAACUUGAUGUCAGCAAUGCUUUUCUGCAUGGUACUCUUAUAGAAACUGUACUCAUGCAACAACCUCUAGGAUUUCAGGAUUCUACACAGCCUAAUUCUGUUUGCAGACUCCAUAAAUCUUUGUAUGGUCUUAAACAAGCUUCUAGAGCUUGGUAUGAUAAACUACAUGGUGCUUUACCCUCAUUGGGAUUCGUUGGCUCAAAAUCUGAUCAUUCCUUGUUUGUUAAGAAAGAUCCUCACUUGGUGUUUAUCCUUGUCUACAUUGAUGACAUUCUUGUCACAGGCAUUUCUCCUCAAGCCUACAAGCAUGUUAUUGAUCAACUAAGUACUCUCUUUCCUAUCAAGGAUCUUGGUCCUUUGCAUUACUUUCUUGGCAUUAAAGUUAAGCGAUCAUCCAAGGGUAUUUUCAUUUAUCAGCCUAAAUGCAUCCUGGAUCUGUUGCACAAGGCCAAAAUGGAUGGUGCCAAACCCUGUGUUACUCCCCUUAGUACAUCAAAACUUGAUCACUCUUCUCCUUUAUUGGAUGAUCCUAUUGAAUAUAGAUCCCUUGCUGCAGCCCUUUAAUAUCUCACAUGGACUAGGCCCGAUCUCUCUUUUGCAGUGAACCUUGUUUGUCAGUUUAUGCACUGUCCUCGACUUUCUCAUCUUCAAGUUGUCAAACGCAUUUUGAGGUAUCUCAAAGGUUCCAUUGAGUGUGGUCUCUGGUUUUCUAAAAGUUCCUCACCACCAUGUAUCAUUGCUUAUUCCGAUGUUGAUUGGGCAUGCUAUUCUAUUGAUCGCAGAUCAACUGGUGGUUUUUGUAUUUUUCUGGGCAAUUCUAUCAUCAGUUGGAGUGCUAAGAAACAAUCCACCAUGGCACGGUCCUUUACAGAGGCUGAAUAUUGAUCUUUGGCUAACAUUGCUACAAAAUUAACUUGGAUUUGCAAGCUUCUUGGUGAUAUUGGUUUUCAAUUACCCUGUCUACCAAAGUUGUGGUGUGACAAUAUAUCAGCUAUCUCUCGUGCCAAGAAUCCUAUUUUCCAUGCUCGUACUAAGCAUGUUGAAUUGGACUAUCACUACAUCCGGGAAAAAGUUUUGGCUCAUGCAAUUUCUCUGCAUUUUGUUUGUUCACAGGAUCAAGUAGCUGAUAUUUGUACAAAGGCUCUGUCCAAAUCCCGUUUUCUAUUUCUUCGGUCCAAACUUACUCUUUGGCAACCUCAGAUCAGUUUGAAGGGGGAUAUUGAGGGUAUAAAUGUAAAUGCAGAUAUAAAAGAUCCUACUUAGAUAUUGGAUAGUUAGUUCUGUUAGUUAGUGGUGCUAAUGUUGUGGUGCUACUUUCAUUAGUUGUUAUACUUGUAUAUAUACAAGUUGUAACUUUAUUCAAAGAUUCAAUGAAAAGAUUUCCCAAUAUCGUUAGAUCCGAUGUCUGGGUGUAUGAUUUGUUUGCGUUUUUCGUUUCAAAACACGUUGCUCUAUGUUUUUUGGAAUUUAGUUUUUGUAAUUUUUGGUGUUUUGUUUAUAUCCUUAGAACUGUCGUUUGGUUGUAUGAUUUGCUUCCUUUUUUUGUUUUUUUUGUUUUUGGUUUCAAGACACUUUGCUCUUCGUUUUUUGGGGCUUCUAUGUGCAACUUCGAAGCCGUUUAUGCUCAAGGUAAAUAAUUUUAGUUUUUUCCUUUUAGCAUUUUCUGCAACAAUUUUUUUUUUUUUAAUAUUGUGAAGUUGUGUUUUCUAUAAUGUGAAAGUCGAAUAUGUGGGAAUUAUAUAUAUAUUUUAGAUUUUGGUGUCUUUUAGGGUUUUAUUCUGGAGUUUGCAAGCCAUUUUUAUGUCAGGUAUAUACUUUAUCUCUUUGCUGUUAAAUUUAUGUUUUAUUUGGGUUUUUUGAUUGUUUGUGGUUCAAUUUUUCCCUGAAAAUUUAAAAAGAGAGAAAUGAUCAUGAUUAAUUUUUCCGUAUUGAAUGUCAAAUUAUCAAUGUAUAUAUACAAAAAAUGAUUUCAGUGUAUGUAGGCAAGAUAAAAUUUCUAUGUCAAAUGGUGAAGUAUCAUGACUUGGUUUCCAGUUUUAAUGUUCUUUUUAUAUGUUGUCUUUGCUUUCAUAAAUUGAUACUUUAUUGUUGAUAAAACAGAUUUGGUUUUGCAGACCAUAAUUUUUAAGCAACAAAAUUAAGCUGGGAAUUAAAUUGAGGUAUGAAUGCUUCCACUUAUUCAGGUUAUUCAAUUGAUCUUUUCCUUUACUGGAUUUUAUUUUUGAAUGUUGUUUGAUAAAACUAAUUUGGUUUUGUAGAUUAAGAUUUUUAAGCGAGAAAAUCAAGUUGGAAAUUCAAUUGAAAUUGUAAUGAAUUUACAAAUUUGUCAAGUAUAUUUUACAUUUGUGGUUCCAUAUUCACUUUACCCAUAACUAUUGAAUUUUGUCUCUUGAAUGGAUGAAUUUUUAUAGCUUCCAGGAUCUACCGUUGCAAUACCUUCAAUGGAUAAAACACAGAGGACCCAGCUACUAUUAUCGAGCCUCUUUAGCAUCGUAAGUUAAAAUUUCAUAUCAUUUUUUUUGCUUCAUGGAAUUCAUUAUGUUUAAUAGCAUACCAAUUAUGUGAUACCAAUUGUUAUCUUAGCAGUUUCUAACAAUUUGUAAAGUACGGAUAAAUGUGUAGGAGUUUGAAUUAUACAUAUGAAAGUUUCAUCUAUUAUACUCUUUUACUAAUUUUUGUUACACAAUCAAUCAUUCACAAGUAAUGCUUUUUAGAGUGGUUCAAAGAAUUUCAAGAGCUACAUUCAUCCAAUUUAUGCUCAUGUAAAAAUUCUUUCAAUAAGUUCAAACAUCUAUCGGUAUAGAUAACAUUAACAUUUUUGUAACAAAAUAUUAUAGCUUUGAAACAUUUUUUCAUACAAUUUCUAAUCCCGCAUCAACGCGAGGGCAAUAUUUCUAGUAAAUCUACUAAAGCUCAGUAGAAAAGUACUAUUCAUCAUGUGAGAAAGCACUGUUCACCAACAGUGAAAAUACGGAAAUGCCCUUGGUUUUAGCUUUGGUCUCCGUACUGUUUACACUUUGCUACAGGUAAAAAUAUUAAAUACUAAUUUCAUUCAAAUAUCUUAUUUUAUUAUUUAAUACUGGGAGAGUUGUGUUUUCUAUGGAGGCAGAUUCUCUGCCCUCCCACUUCCGGUGCCCUCCCGUGCUCUCCCACUUCUGGUGCCCUCCCGUGCCCUCCUGUUUUGUGUGGUUACGGUUAAGCCACGUCAACAUUUUAUAUUAAUUUUUUAUAAAAAUAAUAAGAUAAAAAUGAAUAGUAAUAUAAAAUGUUGACGUGAUUUAAUCGUGAUCAUAUAAACAAAAGAGCACGUGAGGGCACUAAGUGAGAGGAUAGAGAAUCUGCCUCUGUUUUCUAUAGCAUGAAAAGCAAUGGAUAAAACAACCACCCUCAAACUAGGGAAAAAGAUGAGGGCAAAAUGAUUAAGGCCACGGCUGAAAGCAAAUGGAGAAACAUCAACCCUCAAACUAGGGAAAAAAUUUAAAAGCUAAUGAUGACCAAACAACAUCCCUGAAAUUAGGGAAAAAGUAUGCACACUGGCGACAUGACUGAGUGAACUCUUUCAUCAUUCUGCCUUUUUUUUUUAUUCUAUUUUAUGCAUCGAAAGAAGAAAACUUUUCUAUACAAUAAAAAAUUAAUGAAAAUUAUUUGAAAAUUUUAAAUUUUAACGAUAAAGAUAAAAUAAAGAGUGAAAUGAAUAAUACCAGGAUUGACUUUUUAGUGUAAAAAUAUAAUUUUUCGUUAAAGUAAACAGUACCAGGAACUUUUCGUUAAAGUUUAUUUCUAUAUAUUGGUAACAGUUAACUCUUAUAAAGAGAAAAUAUGGAAAUGAUGGCUAUUUCUCCAAAUGUUAGAGGCAUCAAAUUAUGUCUCUGUAUUAUACAGACUCCAAACCAGGAGUAUUUGAUCUAUCUUUAUACACCAUUUUAUUUCAUUUUUACAAUAUAAAUGCUAGGAAACUAACUGCCAAUUGAUGAUGUUAUCAUUUAGAUGAUUUCAACUAUUGCUCAUAUUGAAACUAUUUAACUGAUUUCUACUAUGUAGACCAAAACAUGUCAACAAUGAUAUGAAACUUUGGGAAGGAAUACCUAAUCACAUUCCUGUGCUAUUUAUUUUUUGAUAUCUAAGUGGUUGACAUGGUUUUUGACCAUUAGAUCAUGUAACUUUACAUUUACGAUUAUAUUGUUUCUGAUUAGUUACUAAAUGUAAUUGGAGAAAUUGUUUCUUUAAUCUACUCAUACUAUAUGGGAUUUCAAAGUUGAAUCCGCUUGCUUGCGGCCUUACGGAAGAAAAUCUCUUUAAAAGUAACAAAACAAAAAUAUUUUUUGAUGAAAUAAAGUUUACUUUAUUGAAAUGAUCGAUCGGUCACGCCCUAUUGGUUCUAAACAUAAAUAUACCAAAAUGGGUUUUCAAUUUUCCAUUUUACAUAUUUAUUGGUUCAAAUUUAAAGGUCAUUCUAAACUUAGACAUCUGUUCAUUACGAUGUCUGGGCUAACAAAUUUAAGGUCUUUAUUUUUCUUUUUGCUGCGGAUCUGCGGGUUUUGACAAGUUUUAUGGGAAAUUGGUGACUAAUGGUAUGCUGCCUCUUCAGAUUCUAAGUUUGUAGCUUCAAUUUCCAUAUAAAGUUUCCAUUUUUUAUGAUUUCUUGAAUUUGGGUUUUAACAAUGGAAAUACUGCUAGAUUCUUAUCAUUAUGUGCAAAUUACUGGUGAUUUGGAUUGGUGCCUGAGAUUUAGAGAAUGGCUCGCAACUUUAAUUUCUUUUUCCUUCAUUAUUAAUGUUUUCAAAAUUUUUACUGCUGGAUAUUGAUAAUUUGUAGUCUUUAAGGGCUUCAAUCUGUUGAAAUUUUGAAUGGUUAUUGCUUUAUCGGAAUUUGGGUGGUCCAAAUUUUGAAUUAGAAGAAAGGAGUUUUAACGAAAAGUCCGCGAUACUAUUUACUUUAACAAAAAAUCAUAUUUUUACAUUAAAAAAUCAAUCUUGAUACUAUUCAUUUUACCCUUUAUUUUAUCCUUAUCGUUAAAACUCAAAAUUUUGAAACCUUUUUCAUUAGUUUUCCUUAGAAGAAACCAUUUGAUUAAUAUUUUUGGUGAAUUGGCUCUAUGUGUUUUCUCUGUUAUUUCUUCCCCAGUUGGAAAGUGGAAGCCCCAACUUUGAGCUCAGAGCUUGAAUUUAUCAAUCAUUCGUUUCUCUGCACUCUCAUCAGUCACUCUUGAUCCUCUCUCUGAGGAACUGGGUAAUUUGCCAGCUCUAUCAAGUAAUACUCCAUUUAGUUGCUUAAUUAAUUUUUUUUGUUGCUCUUUUUCUCUCUUUCAUCAGUUCAUUGGCUUUGAUGUUGGGUCUAAGGAAAUGGGAAAUCAUUAAUUGGCAUGGUUCAAGAUAUGAUUGUGUUUUUGGAUUUGUGAAAUGAUUUGGCUAAUGAAGAGAGUGGUCUUUUGUAUAUGGAUUACACACAUGUGGGCUGAUCUGUCCUUCCUAAUAAAUUUCAGAUCUGUUUCAGGUAUAAAUUUUUCUCAUCUAUUUGCAAACAAGUUUCGAUUUUGUAUUAUUUAUAUUCCUGCCAUUGCCAAAAAGCAUGGGCUGCAGAGACAAGGAGAUGGAGAUAGGCGGGGGAUGGCAGGGUGGGGAAGGGAGAGGGAGGAGUGAGGUUGCCAUAAAAGGAGGUUAGGGUUGAUUUUUUCUCCUCAAAUCAAGGGUUGGUGUCGGGAUUGAGGGAUGUGUCGAAAUUUCCACUAGAAGCCUAAAUUAAUGUGUAGCUAUUGGUGAUUGAGAGGUUGAUUUGAGAAGGAUGGGACAGAACACACUCACUGUUUUCAUUUGUGUUUGAUUUCAGAUUUGCUCCAAUAUCUGUGCUUAGUAAUAUUUCUGCAAUUUGUAUUAUGCUUUCGCUCCAAUACCUCUGUUGAUUAAUUUUUGUCCAAUUUUUGUGUUUGUGUUUCUGUCUUUAUGCGUCUUGUAUCGUUGAAAUCCUGUUCACUUAUUGUGUAUUGCUCAAAUGCCUCUGUUGGCUUCUGCAGAGAGGUUCGAGUUCUUUACCGAACUGAUGUCAUGUCAAUUCUAUCUUAUAUCUCUAAUGAUUUUGUUUAGUUCUUAUUAUCCCUUCACUGUAUUCAAAGAUCAAUUGUUGUUUAUUAGUGUUUGUGCAAAUUGGACGGAACCGAUGUUUCUAUGUUUCUUAGAUUCAACUGAUAUCAUGGUAAUUCUACACCUGACCUCUAUAUCGUAUGUUAAUUUAUCAUCUUUUCACUUAGAGCCAAUUGUUGGAGCUUAGUGCCUAAUCAGAUGAAUUCCAAAUGCAAGAUCCUCUAAUUUCAUCUUUUGUGGUUUCAGCAAAGAUAAUGAAUCUUCUUACAGCAUCUAUUUUUUUGCAGCAUAAUUCAGCUUCUCAGUUCAAUUCUUAGGUGUAGGUUGUCCUCAUGUUCCAGUUCCAUCAGGACUAUGGGUGUUUAUUUUGGUUUCAUGUGUCUUUCUUCAGUUCUAAGUCCGCCGCAUGAAUGUGUGCUGAAAUGUAAUGUAAGUAACUGGUAUGUGCUACUUCUCAGUUUUCUAUUUAUAUGUUUUUGGAAUUUUCGGGUGAUGGGAAUCAACCUGAGUUCAUGUUAAAACGAUAUCAUAAUUUUCGUUAUAGUAAGAACUCAGAACUUAGGACCUUUUUUUUCCUUAUCUUUCCCCUUUUUGAAGUUAAGGAAUUGAAUUACUUUUUACUACCUUUUUUGCGAUCAUUCACUGAUAAUUUGUUAAUUGUGUUUAAUAUUUAUGACGUUGGAUCUCUACUUUCUAAGAUCCAUUCUCAUCUUCAGAGAUUGCUUGAUUCAUAUUGUCAAAUAGUUUAUGAAUUUCCCUAUUAAGUGCGUCAAUAUGUUAUUGCGGUAAUUUAAUUAAAUGUGAUAUAAGUUGAGGUGUAUAUACCUUUGAAACAUAAUUAUGUUAUUGCGGUAAUUUAAUUAAAUGUGAUAAAAGUUGAGGUGUAUAUACCUUUGAAACAUAAUUUUUCACACAAUUUCUAAUCACGCAGCAACGUGCGGGCAAAAUUUUCUAGUAUUUACUAAUUGUGAACCCAAUACAAAACAAUAGACCAUAAGAAAUCCAUUAGUCAAGCCCCAAAACAGACACUCCAACCCUCCCAAUUGCAAAGGGAUUGGGUGAUUCAAUCCAAGACAAACAAAAUGAGCUCCACCCCAGCCCAAACAAGUCGGGCUACAGUGAAAAAUAGGAGGCCUAACACCUUACUCGGGCCAAAAUCGCCCAACCCACUGCCUAAGGCAGUCUGACGUCAAGGUGACUUCACCCACAAUACUAUUUUUUUAUGCUAGGCGAUUGCACUUCACGUGAGUGUGGGCGAGAGUCGUCCGACCAAAAUCUAGGCGGCGGGCCGGCGCUGGAGCAAUCUGGGAUUCCGGGCCGUUGUUAUGUAGUAGUGCCUCAACCGCAGCUACAGUUGGUUUAAGCUUUCUUAUUGAACAGCUCGUAAUCAGCGAAAAAUUGCAUUUUAACGUGCUCCCUUUGUUCAACUUCAAUCAACGAACAAAAUGUAACUAAAAUAGAUGAUUGAGUGAUUAGAUUCUACAAUACAGGAGGUGAAGAGAGUGCUAAAGGCUAAAAAAUCGAUGUGCCUAUUUGGUUCAAGAUGGCGCCAUCGAGCGGGAUCCUGUGGUGGCACACAAGUUCUCAACUCUCUCUGUUCAAGAUAUUGAGGGACACUCUUGCACAUAGGACCAUUGAUCGGUAGAUGGAGUGUGGAAUACGGGGGGAUAUGAUCGAUGCAUGGUUUGCCGGAACUGUCACUUGACGUAAUGGGAUGAGCAUCAUUUGCUAAAUGGUUGCUUAUCAAAAUGUAAGAGUUCCGAAAAUCAGAUGAGCACCUGUUGAUAUUGGUGAUAUAGUUGGUGCUAGUGGAUCCAUCAAACGGCCAGAGAGAUGUAACUUCUUUAAAGUUUCUUGUUUUGUAAUUGGCUGUUCUUACAUUAUUGCACAAAUGUAUUAGUGCCACACCCUAACCGAGGGGAGGGCAUGCUGGCCGUCAUGUGAGAGUGAUGUAGCCAUGUGCACAGUGUGGAAACGAUAAAGAUAGCAAUUAUACGAAUAAAUAAAAACCAUAUUACUAGACUGCACUACAACGAAAGUGAUAGAAGUUAAUUACAACCAUAAACACUCCUAAUCAGAGCAUAAGGUUUAGGUGCAGUCCAGUAGGAUAAGUACUAGUUAUACAGUACCAUGCGAUGUCUUACAAUUUAUUUCGACAAGUCAGACAGUCGAAAUCCUCGAGCCACCAGCAACAAACUUACUUAAAACCUGGAGGGGUGCAAAAUAGAAAAUGUGAGUGGGCAAAAACAAAUGUUUUACAAAACCAUGUCAUUUAUCAACAUAACUAACCCCUCGCUGUAAAACAUGUAUAAUUUAUCCCAGAAUCAGAAUAAAAGCAUAUACGUAAAUGUAUAUAGAUGGAAACAUAUCAAUUCAACCAUAUUUAACCUAAUCAUGAAAUAUAUGUAUGUCAUGCCAAGAUAUAACAAUUUAACAAUUCAGGUAAGAAUAAUUUCAUAGGAAUAUGAUAUGUUAGCCGGAACCCCUGUGGUAGUCUGUACGCCUAAAUUCAUAGCUCAAUAAUCAAUCUAGCCGGAGUCACUACAAUGACCUGUAUGACAAAAUACUGCGCAAGAGUUGGAACCAAAAGCAAAGGUCUGUACGACAAUAGAGGGUGUAAUAAAAUCAUGCUCAUUACUACUCUCAUAUAGCCAGGCGAUAAUUCACUAGUCACCUAUGAGUCGGAACCAUACAGAGGGUCUAUACGACAAGACUGUGCACCUAAAUUGGAUCCAAUGUGAGCAUAUGGUGCGGAAGGUGACAAAAUAACAGGCUGUAUCGUAUCUCUGGCUAAAUCAAUCACCCUAAGUGCAGUUUUAUGUCAUUAUUCAAUCACAUAUCACAUCAUCGAUGAUUCACAUAACCAAACAUAACUUACCUGAACUCACAUGUGCCUCCACAGCACCACAUUUAUAUAUAUGCAACCAUGCAAUGCAUAUUCAAAAUAUAGAAACAUUUGGCAUAUUAUUUCAAAGUAUACGUUUGUAAAAUGUAUUUUCUGGGAAUUAUAUUGAAUAUAUAAAUAUAUACUGAAAACAAAAGCCCACUCACUGAUAAGUCGACGGGUCGUAGCCCUCGAGUCGCCCCUGGAUACGCUUGUCCUCGGGAUACGUCUCGCCUAUAUGCGAAUUAACUAUAAAAACGUUAUUUUAAAGCACAUACACAAAACUAGCUAAUAAUUUCUCAUACAUUGCUCAAUUUGGGUAUGUGAAUAUACCACAGUGAUCUACACAACCUCAGGGUCCUACCCAUAUUUUAGAUUAAUUUUUGGACCCCUCACGCGCCGUCACGCACAGGCGAGGCCACGGCCUUACGCGCCCCCACGCGCGGCCAUGUGACCUGCACAUUGACGGAUUCCCUAACUGCCGUUAGGGAAUAUUCCGUUAGAAUCUAACGGAUUUUGUUAAAUUUGACUGACGGCAUGAGAAUAUUCAUUCAAACUUGACGGAAUAUUCCUUCACCUCCUACCUCCAGCUCAGGCGACCGUCGCUGGCGCCGGAAACUGGGCAAAACUUCCAACUCAUUAUUCUCUUUCAUUCUUCACCCAUUUUUCACAAAAUUUGUACCAAAAUGAAGCUAGGGACAUCUACAAUCACGAUAUAUAUGUUUCAAGGCUUAAAAAUCACUAGAUUUUUCUUGAGAAAGGUCGAUAGCUCGGCUUACCUAAAAACACGUCGAUCUCAGUCAUCCGACGUCCAAUUCCUUCCAACGAAGCACCCCUAGACUUGUGAGGACAUCCUUAAGCUCCAUGUGAGCUUGAAAUUUCCAAAGACAUGAGUUUUAACGUCUGCAUGAACAGUACCCCAAAUCAGGGUUAUGGUUUUAACAUGAAGACGAAGCUAUCCUUACCUGAAAAUGGUCUAGAUGUGUUCCUGAGCUUGCGAGGAACACGAUGGUGCCAACGCCCUCGAUCUACCAAGUUUGGGUGGAUUUUGGUGUUGUCCGUACACGAUAUCGAGAGAGAUGAGAGAGAAAGGGCACGGGAAAAAGGGAGAAAGGGGAUGACGGAUGUGUGAUCCAACACUUACCAACAGCCCAAACACAACUAAAAUUUCUUAAAUUCCAAAGUGGUUCCAAACACUUAGGAGACUUAAUUAAUCCAAUGUAAAGCAAAUCACACACCACACACCCUAACUUCCAAGGGUAAUUUCAUCUUUUCACAUCAUCGAGAAGAAAAUAAUGUACAUCACCGGGACGGGUUGUGACAAUCUCCCCACCUUAUAAAUUUUUGUCAUCGAAAUUACAUACAACCAAUACAUCCACUAAUAAUCAUAAAAUAAGCAUGGAUAAAUCUCUCUUAUCCGAUCAUCGGUCUCCCAAGUAGCUUCUUCCACUAAAUGAUUUCUCCAUAGUACUUUCACCAAGCGUACGGUCUUAUUCCUCAAUUCUUUAUCCUUCCAAUCCAACAGAGUCACUGGUUCCUCAUCAUAAGUCAAAUCCGAAUUAAUUUCCAAGGGUUGAGGAGGAAUCAUAUGUGAAGGAUCUGAAACAUAAUGUCGUAGCAUCGAAACAUGAAGUACAUCGUGUACCUUGGGCAACUCUGGAGGCAACUCAAGCCUAUAAGCAACCUCACCGACUCGCUCGGUGAUUAGAUAUGGUCUAAUAUACCUAGGACUUAACUUUCCUUUCUUUCCAAAUCGCACAACACCUUUCCAAGGUGAUAACUUCAAAAAUACCCAAUCACCUACAUCGUACUUCCAAUCAGUGGCAUGCUUGUCUGCUAAGCUCUUUUGCCGAUCUUGGGCCGCUUUCAAGUUAGACUUAAUUACCUGAACAUUUUGAGUAGUCACAUCCACAAUCUCAGGGCCCACUAAAACUCUUUCGCCAACUUUUGACCAACAUAGAGGCGUACGACUAGAUUUCCCAUAAAGCGCCUCAAAUGGUGCCAUACCAAUACUCGAAUGAUAACUGUUGUUGUAGACAAACUUCAUCAAAUCCAAACAAUCAUGCCAACAAUCUCCAAACUGUAACACCGAAGAUCUCAACAUAUCCUCUAAUGUUUGAAUGGUCAUCUCAGAUUGUUCAUCUGUCUGAGGAUGAUAUGCCGUGCUAUAAAGCAAUCUCGUACCAAGAGCUUCCUGGAAUGCUAUCCAGAACUUGGAAGUAAAUCUAGGAUCCCGAUCCGAGAUAAUAUUAACUGGCACACCAUGAUACUUCACAAUCUGUGAUAUAAAUACUUAGCUAAUCGGCUUAACGAAUACUUCUCUCUCACUGGAAUAAAAUGUGCUGACUUCAUAAGUCGAUCAACUACCACCCAAAUGCCAUCAAAUCCAUUUUGUGUACGAGGAAGUUCAUACACAAAAUUCAUCAUAAUAUUUUCCCAUUUCCACUGAGGAACGGGAAGUGGCUGCAUCAAUCCAAACGGCUUCUUCCUUUCAGUUUUAACCUGCUGGCAAAUGGCACAUCUACUCACGUAUUCGGCAAUUUCCCUUUUCAUACCUGGCCAAUAAUAAUGGCCUAAUGAUAUGAUACAUCUUAGUGACUCCUGGAUGCAUCGCAUACGCCGAAAUAUGUGCUUCAUCCAAAAUUUCCUUCUUUAACUCUGCAUUAUUCGGCACAAACAUUCUGCUUUCCUGUACAAGCAUGCCAUCGGUUUUUCGAAUCUUAAAGUCUUUCUUUUUCCCCUGAUUUCUUGCUUGAAUUAUUUCUUAAGUCUCCUCAUCAUUCAUCUGAACCUCGAGUACACGAUCAAUUAAAACUGGCUUAACCAGGAAAAAUUAGCAAGCAAGGCUUCUUCUCGAUCUUCCACUCCUAGCUCCACCCCAGUGGACCUCAAAUCUGCUAGAAGAGGAACAUGACAAUCAUAAAUGGCAUUAAGUCUGGCUGGAGUCUUCCUACUAAGUGCAUCCGCCACUGCAUUCGCACGACUAGGAUGAUACUCAAUCGUGCAAUCAUAGUCACUAAGCAACUCAAUCCAUCUCCGCUGCCGAAGAUUUAGAUCCCUCUGAGUAAACAGAUACUGAAGACUCUUAUGAUCUGUGAAGAUCUUACAUUUCUCACCAUAAAGAUAAUGUCUCCAAAUCUUCAAGGCAAAGAUGAUAGCCGCCAAUUCCAAAUCAUGCAUAGGGUAAUUCUUCUCAUGAGGUUUCAACUGUCUCGAAGCAUAAGCAAUAACCAUACCAUGUUGCAUCAAUACACAACCUAAACCAUUCAGGGAAGCAUCACUAUAAACCUCAUAAUUACCGCUAUCAUCGGGAAGUGCUAGAACCGGUGCAUGGGUGAGAUAGUACUUCAACUGCUGAAAACUUUGCUCAUAUUUAUUAUCCCACUCGAACCUAACAUCCUUUCGAGUCAAUCUCGUCAAUGGAAAAGCAAUCACUAAAAAAUCCUUAACGAACCGUCGAUAAUAGCCUGCUAGGGCAAGAAAACUCCGUACCUCAGUGACGGUUCGAGGUUGCUCCCAAUUCUCCACAACUGCUACUUUAUGAGAAUUCACUUGAAUGCCUUGAGCGGAAAUAACAUGUCCCAAAAAUGCCACUUGAUUUAACCAAAAUUCACAUUUGCUAAACUUAGCACAUAGUUGGUGUUCCCUCAAACUGCUUAACACCAAUUUCAGAUGUCUGGCAUGCUCAACCUUAGACUUAGAGUAUACCAAUAUAUCGUCAAUGAAGACAAUAACAAAUCUAUCCAACUAUGGUUGGAAUACUCGAUUCAUCAAAUCCAUAAAAGCUGCAGGUGCAUUAGUUAACCCGAAUGGCAUCACGAGAAACUCAUAAUGACCUUAUCGAGUCCUGAAUGCGGUUUUAGGGACAUCCUCAUUUUUAACCUUCAACUGGUAGUAUCCCAACCUCAAGUCAAUCUUAGAGAAUACAAAGGCACCUUUGAGUUGGUCAAAUAAAUCAUUUAUACGAGGCAAUAGAUAACGGUUCUUAAUCGUUACCUGAUUCAAUUGCCUAUAAUCAAUGCACAGCCUCAAAGUUCCGUCUUUCUUCCUCACAAAUAAAACUGGGGCUCCCCAAGGUGAAGUACUUGGCUGAAUAAAACCUUUAUCCACUAACUCUUGCAACUGAACUUUCAAUUCCCUUAAUUCAGCAGGAGCCAUUCUGUAAGGAGUCAAAGAUAUAUGAUUCGUACCUGGAAGCAGAUCAAUAACAAACUCCAUCUCUCUAUCUGACGGUAAUCCAGGCAGAUCCUCAGGAAAUACAUCCAGAAAAUACUUGACCACACGUACAUCCUCCACACUACUAGAAGCAUCAUCAUUCAACACCACAUGAGCCAAAUAUCUCUGACAACCCUUCAACAACAAUCUAUUCACUUUCAUGGCCGAAAUAAUACCAUGCCUCACUCCACUAGGUUCUCCAAUGAAUGUAACUUAAGGUAAUCCAGGGCGAUGAAAUAUAACUGUUUUCCCAUAACAAUCUAUCUUGGCACGAUUAUAGUGUAACCAAUCAGUGCCCAAAAUCACAUCAAAGUCCAUAGUAUCCAACGGCAUAAGGUUAGCCAGCAUAAUAAUAUCCUCUACUAUCACUGGACAUCCUGGAUAUACCCGAUCCACAAAACAUCUAUCCCCUCUAGGUAUAGAAAACUCUAAAUUAUAUCCUAGAGGCGUAGGAUGGGGUUGUGUCACUUGAGCAAAUGUAUGAGAUAUAACAAAAUGUGUAGCACCACAAUCAAUCAAUAAUCUAGCAAAAUGACCAAGAAUAUUUAACGUACCCAUAAUUAAGUCUGGAUUAUUCUGGGCAUCUUGCAGUGACAUGUUGUUGAUACGUGCCUGAUUCUGCUGUCGUCCACCUCGACCUCUGUUAGCAUGAAUACCACGUCCUAGUCUCUACUGACCCUGCUACCUUGAAGAUCCUGCACUACUAGCAGCAAUCUCGCCCUGAUGGGGUUGUCUCCCUUGGUACCACUGAGAUCAUCCGGCUGAAUGAGGUUGAUAAGACAUAGAUCCUCCCUGAUACUAAGAGUACCCACUCUGAUAUUGAAGAUCUUGAUAGUACUGCUGCUGCCCUGAGAUGUAGGGAGCGGCGUCACCCUGAUAGUUAAGUACCUCAUCGUCCAGUCUGAGUAUAACCACCCGAUCCUGAAGCUUGCUGGGUCUGUGCAGGUGGUGGAAAAGAAGACUGCUGGGGUCUAUGAUGACUUUGAGGGCAUUGAACGGCCCUAUGACCCGUCUGACCACAAAUGAAGCAUCCACUGUUUCCUCUUCUACACUCCCCAAAAUGCCUAUUAUUACACUUGCUACAUACAGGGGCACCUGAACCACCUGAACCGCCAAAGUUACCUCGCCUCUGAAAUCUCUAGCCUCCAGAAAAUCUACCACCUAUCCUCUGGUUAUUAACAUUUCAUCCCCCGCUAGAAGAGCUGGAACUACCACCAUUUUUCUUGAAGUUCUGGGUCUUACAUGGUCCCUGAAAUACUUGCCAUUUUCCUUUAUCAUCUCGUCUCUCGCCUCCAUUCUUUCCUUCCUCAUCCUCACUUUCAUUAGGCAUGUUCUCAGAGGCCUCAAUCCUCAGCAGAAUCUCAUAAAACUCCCGAUAAGAGGCACAGCGAGUCGAUGUGGCUAUAGAACGCCAUUUUUUCUUAGUACCCAAACUGAAACGGUGAAGCAUCUCAACCGGAUUAGCAGCAACCUCUGGAUCAUACCUCGAAAGAUCAGUAAACAUCCUGUAAUAUUCAUUAGCAGACAUAUUUCCCUACCUCAUAUGAGUGAACUCCUAUUUCUUACUGUCAAUAUAAGCAGGAGGAAUAAACCUUUUUCGAAACGGCUCCUUAAACACUUCCCAGUCCACAAUCUCUGCUGGGGUCAACUGGUAAGACUCAUGGUUCUACCAGGAUGCAGGUUGUUCUCCCAAAAACCAAGUAUUCGUCUCAACCCACUUAUCAGAAGAAAGACUUCCCUGACUCUGCAUCACCUGAAAGGUCUUCUCCACGUGAUCCAACCAUCUUUCGGCCCCCUCAUGACCUUCAUUUCUUAUGAAGUGAGUCAGCUUUAGAUUAUGAACUGUCUCAAGAGGUGUCAUCUGGGGAGUACGGAAUGCUGUCUAAAUGGCAGAAACUAUAGCUUCCCCCAAUUGAGCAAUAUCAGGGAAACUAGAUUCAGCUGGUUGACGGGGCUCUCUACGAGGCGGCAUAGUUCUGACAUAAGACAUCACAAGGAUUAGAACAUUCAAGAAUCACACAGGACUGCGAAACCUAGGCUCUGAUACCAAACUGACACACCCUAACCAAGGGCAGGGCAUGCUGGCCGUCACGUGAGAGUGACCUAGCCAUGUGCACAGUGCGGAAGCGAUAAAGAUAGCAAUUAUACGAAUAAAUAAAAACCAUAUUACUAAAGUGCACUACAACGAAAGUGAUAGGAGUUAAUUACAACCGUAAACACUCCUAAUCAGAGCAUAAGGUUUAGCUGCAGUCCAGUGGGACAAGUACUAGUUAUACAAUACCAUGCGAUGUCCUACAAUUUAUUUCGACAAGUCAGACAACCGAAAUCCUCGAGCCACAAGCAGCAAACUUACUUAAAAACUGGAGGGGUGCAAAAUAGAAAACGUGAGUGGGCAAAAAAAAAUGUUUUACAAAACCAUGUCAUUUAUCAACAUAACUAACCCCUCGCUGUAAAAUAUGUAUAAUUUAUCCCAGAAUCAGAAUAUAAGCAUAUACGUAAAUGUAUAUAGAUGGAAACAUAUCGAUUCAACCAUAUUUAACCUAAUCAUGAAAUAUAUGUAUGCCAUGCCAAGAUAUAACAAUUUAACAAUUCAGGUAAGAAUAAUUUCAUAGGAAUAUGAUAUGUUAGCCGGAACCCCUGUGGUAGUCUGUACGCCUAAAUUCAUAGCUCAAUAAUCAAUCUAGCCAGAGUCACUACAAUGACCUGUACGACAAAAUACUGCACAAGAGUCAGAACCAAAAGCAAAGGUCUGUACGACAAUAGAGGGUGUAAUAAAAUCAUGCUCACUACUACUCUCACAUCAUAACCAGGCGAUAAUUUACUAGUCACCUAUGAGUUGGAACCAUACAUAGGGCCUAUACGACAAGACUGUGCACCUACAUUGGAUCCAAUGUGAGCAUAUGGUGCGGAAGGUGACAAAAUAAUAGGCUGUAUCGUAUCUCUGGCUAAAUCAAUCACCCUAAGUGCAGUUUUAUGAGCUUGACAUUAUUCAAUCACAUAUCACAUCAUCGAUGAUUCACAUAACCAAACAUAACUUACCUGAACUCACCUGUGCCUCCACAGCACCACAUUUAUAUAUAUGCAACCAUGCAAUGCAUAUUCAAAAUAUAGAAACAUUUGGCAUAUUAUUUCAAAGUAUACGUUUGUAAAAUGUAUUUUCUGGGAAUUAUAUUGAAUAUAUAAAUAUAUACUGAAAACAAAAGCCCACUCACUGAUAAGUCGACGGGUCGUAGCCCUCGAGUCGCCCCUGGAUACGCUUGUCCUCGGGAUACGUCUCGCCUAUAUGCGAAUUAACUAUAAAAACGUUAUUUUAAAGCACAUACACAAAACUAGCUAAUAAUUUCUCAUACAUUGCUCAAUUUGGGUAUAUGAAUAUACCACAGUGAUCUACACAACCUCAGUCUUCCGACGUCCAAUUCCUUCCAACGAAGCACCCCUAGACUCGUGAGGACCUCCUUAAGCUCUCUGUGAGCUUGAAAUUUCCAAAGACAUGAGUUUUAACGUCUGCAUGAACAGUACCCCAAAUCGGGGUUAUGGUUUUGACAUGAAGACGAAGCUAUCCUUACCUGAAAAUGGUCUAGAUGUGUUCCUGAGCUUGCGAGGAACACGAUGGUGCCAUCAACGCCCUCGAUCUACCAAGUUUGGGUGGAUUUUGGUGUUGUCCGUACACGAUAUCGAGAGGGUGAGAGAGAGAGUCCGAGAGCGAUGAGAGAGAAAGGGCACAGGAAAGAGGGAGAGAGGGGAUGAAGGAUGUGUGGUCCAACACUUACCAACAACCCAAACACAACUAAAAUUUCUUAAAUUCCUAAAUGGUUCCAAAUACUUAGGAGACUUAAUUAAUCCAAUGUAAAGCAAAUCACACACCACACACCCUAACUUCCAAGGGUAAUUUCGUCUUUUCACAUCAUCGAGAAUAAAAUAAUGUACAUCACCGGGACGGGUUGUGACAAUUAGACUAUAUUAUGUUGGUUUCUCUUUAAUUUCUGGCCAUUUAAAGUGAUAUUUAAUGAAUUUAUUUAUUUUUGUUUAGUCAAGUAUCAGCCUCUCCUGUCGUAGCGAGGAUAGAUGUCGUAUUCCCCGAAAUGGCCAAAUCAUAGGAGUUAUUAUGAGCUUGAUGAGAAGUACUUUUAAAAUAGCUGAAAGCGCAAAUGAAUCCUAGAAAAACAUUUAAAGUUCUUGCAAGAAGGUACUUUGGAACCAAAAAAUAUUCUGAAAGUGCUUUCAAUCAUUUUAAAAGUACUUCCAAAUGAGCUUUAUAUCAGUUCGAGUGAAAUUUUAUUUUGCAUACUUAUUUCGGUGAAGCUUUAGUUAUCGUGAUUUUUAUUACCAACAAUUAUUACUAAUUAAAUAGUUUGAAUUUGGUAGGUUGAAGAAGAAGGGUCUAGUCGCUGAAAAUGUUGUUAUAGGGUUUUGAAAACCUUUGAAUCUAACAAAGAGCGCGAGAAUGUUAAUUGUGAUAGCCCGAAUUAUGGUUUUUAUAAUUUUAAAAGUGUGAAUUUACGAAAAUGCCCCAAUGUGUAGUGAGACAUACUAAAUAUUCUUUUAGCGUAUUCCUGAAGUACUCGACGAUAUGAACGAGUAAGCGUAAGCAAAAGUGAAUUUGGAAUUACGAACCGAAAGUAUUUUGAAGAAAUAACUAUUCUAUUUAUAUUAUAUUAAUGUAUGCUAAAUUAGGAGGACAUGUGUGUGUGUGUGUGUGUGUGUGUGUGUGUGUGUGUGUGUGUGACGGAAAAGGGGAAGAAAAAGAAAAGGAAUGGGGGAGAAGAAGAAAUGAGGAGAAGGGAAGGGUUGCUGCCCAAUCAGGUUGAGAAGAAAAGUGAGGGACCAACCAGAGAAGAGAGCAAGGAGGAGAAAGGAGAAAGAAAAGAAAAAGGGGAAACCGGGUUUCCUUCAACCCGUGACCCGACCAGGUGGAUUCUCCCAUCUCUGGCCACUUUGGACAACAAGGUUAGUGUCAAAAUGACCCUUACCACGAGGCCAACCGAUCCCUCUUCCAUUUACAUGUGGAAAUUGGUGAAUUUUGGGUAAAACCAUGCUAAGUAGAGAUGAGAAUAUACAUAUAAGGCUUACAGGAUCCUUACCCCAGGGCGAUGAAAUUGUCACAUCCUGGCCCUGGCCCUUACCACGUCUCGGGCUCGACUCCACCGUAGCACGAUAUUGUCCGCUUUGGGCCCCAACCACGCCCUCAUGGUUUUGUUUCUGGGAACUCACACAAGAAAUUCCCAAAAACCGUGCUAGGUAGAGAUGAGAAUAUACAUAUAAGGCUUACAUGAUCCUUACCCCUGGGCGAUGAAAUUGUCACAUCCCCGCCCGGGCCCCUACCACAUCCCGGACUCGACUCCACCGUAAUAGGAUAUUGUCCACUUUGGGCCCCAACCACGCCCUCAUGGUUUUGUUUCUGGGAACUCACACGAGAAAUUCCCAAUGGGUCACCCAUCAUGGGAUUGCUCUCGUGCAAUCUCGCUUAACUUCGGAGUUCCGAUGGAACCCGAAGCCAAUGAGCUCCCAAAAGGCCUCGUACUAGGUAGAGAUGUGAAUAUACAUAUAAGGCUUACAUGAUCCACUCCCCUGGGCGAUGUGGGAUGUUACAUUAAUCUUCACCAAAAAAAAUUUAUCGUGAUGUUUUAGCUGCAAUGGUAGUCUUCACUAAUUUUUUUGUUUUUUUAUUUUUGUUUUGUUUUGUGUUCUUAGACCAAUUUUGUGGUGCAGUUAGCAUCUAAAAUAACCAUUGUAACUAAAAAAGAGCGUGAGAAUGUUAUAAGGAACAAUCCGACUACCUUCAGAAGAUGGUGAUAGGAUUUUUUACCACCUGCAAAAGUAGGGAUAAAAACACUUUAAAAUACUUGCAAGAGUACAAGGUUAUCGCAGUAUAGCAGCUCAAGUAAGGUCGUUUUCCACAUGAAUUUAAUGAAUAACUUGUAUUUAAACUAAUCCUUAGCUAAUUAUUUAGAACAAAAUUUCGAAAAGGUUGAUUUUGGAAUUUAAAAUAAUUAAAUAGUUGGCAAAGUAAAGAAAGCAAAAGAAAAAGGUUUUGUAAAGCAAUUUAAACACUAGGGUUUUGACGUCACCAUUAACAAUCAUAUGCAAUUGUACUAACUACCUAUGAAUUUCUACAUACAUUCUUUGAAGGUUAGGCUUUCCUAAUACAUAUUUUCCUCGUGAUGUUCAAGCGAAAACGUAUAUCUAACAUGCAACCCGUCUGAUGUUCAAAUCAAAUAUAAACAUGCAAGACUCAUUAAGUUUUAUGAGAACCCUUUGAAAAACCAUGCAACCCUUAAGAGCGUGAUGUUCGCCUUAAGUGAACUUACAAUUACUAAUCAUAAGAAGCCUUCUUCAAUUUUAGGAUGAUGUUCGAAUAGAAAUUGCAUCAAAUUACUAGUCUAAAUACCCUAAUGAUCGCGAAUCACUAAGACAAUUAGAUAGUUUAAUCACGGUAAUUAAUAAUUCAAAGCAAGCAUGCAUCCAUUCAUAAGCAAAUUAAUAAAAUCACAUAUUCCUGCUAAGGCUCGCGGCUUCGCCUUAGCAAACAGAAAUUAGUUAUGAACAAUUAUAAAACAAAAUAUUAUUGAGAAGAAGGAUUGAAAACACCUAGAAAAUAAACUUCAAAGCUCUCUAAAAUGUGCGUGCGUUUUCUCCUCUCCUCCUCUCAAUGUUGCGUCCCUCCAAACCCUAAUGUCUAAAAGCCUUAUUUAUACUACUCCAAAUUAAAACCCUCAUAGAAAAGGUUUUCUAAAAACUAGGAAAUAAAAUAACAAAAGGAUAACUAGAAAUUACAUUCCUAUCCUGACUAGGAAAUCUGCCCAGCAUAGAAAGAGCCACGUUUCUGGACCUUCAGGGCUCCAAAACAAGCCCAAAAUGAUCGAAUUAAAGAUUAGAACCUCAUCUUCAAGUUCUAAGAAGAGCCCAAAUCCAAAAUCUAUCAUCUUCCCAUCCAAAAGUCACAAAUAAGCUCGUCAGUCCAAUCUUCCAGCACUACACGUUGGGCAUAAAUUAAUUCGCCACGAUCAGAUGCUUCGGGAUAAAAUUAUGAAAUUUUGAUACAACCUUCUUGACAGAUUCAUGAACACACUCAAAUUGGAAUCACUCAAAAAUUCCACUGUUUGAUUACUUUAUGCUCAAAACAAGUUCGCAUGUCUUACAUUAAAAACAUAUAGGAAAACAUCAAAAUCUCAUCAAAAUAAUAACCAAAAUAUACCAAAAACAAGGAGUAAUAUAUAGUAUAAAAUCGACACAUCAGAUGACAAGGUGUAUUAAUUUUAUAUCGGUCAGUCAACAUGGAUGGUUUGCGACCUCUAAUAGAAUGUGGCUGCAGGACCACCAGCGCAAGCAAAGCGAAGGGUCGAUCUAAAUUAUUAGGCACUGCUCAGAUAAUUGAUAUAAUAUUUCGUUUCACUCAUAGUAUGUAAUGUGUCGGUAAUUAGUUAUAUAUAAUAUUAGUCAAACAGUUUAAUGAUAUUUUUAUAAAAAAAAUGGGUAUACGAUGACUUUGAAGUUGAACGGUUUCAAUGAGUAUUCAACAUAAGCUAUUGUUUAGUAUGACAGAUCUGUAUUGGUAGUUUUUGUGCGUUUGGUGAUUGUAUGUUUGUGCUUGUGGGUGUCUAAUAGGGGUUUAUUAUUAUUUGUCUAUUUGUGCAAAUUCAUUCCAAAUCAAUUUAUUGAUUACUGGAAUUAUGUACCCAAUAACACUUUAUGAUUGUUUGUGUUGAUUAAUGAAAUACUACGCUAUCGUUUCUUGUGAAAAAAAACAAAAACAUUUCACUACGAGAUAAUGAAACAUGUCCAAAAAAUCCCAAAAAAGGGGUCACUUUAAAUGGAGCUAGUAAUAUUGCAUUGCAUGAGCCGCUAGUGUGAUUUCUUCGUAAUUAAGUCUCGAAGGACACACACACACAUAUAUAUAUAUGUAUGUAUAUAUGUAUGGCUAUGGCUGUAAAGCUGCUGAAGCAAAUAUCAUGGGACAAGGAUUAUCUACUCUCUCAUUUUUGGUACCCUUCUAUACUCUUCUGUUUUGUGUGGUCAUGGUUAAACCACGUUAACAUUUUAUAUUUUUUUUUAUAGAGAUAAUAAGAUAAAAAUAAAUAGUAAUAUAAAAUGUUAACGUGACUUAACCGUGAUCACACAAAUAAAAGGACAUGGAAUGGCACUAAAAAUAGAAUGGCAGACAAUCCUUGUUCAAUAUCAUGACCUAAUUCCUAAAGUUGAUUUUUUAAAAAUUCAUUUCAAAAGUAGUGGAGUAGAGCGCAUGUCAAAUCAAUAACUUUCAGAUCCGCCCUUCGGCUCGGUUGGGCUUCAACCUAGUGCAACUUGAGUAAUUUUUUUAUUUUUUGUACUCUUUUUUUUUUAUACAAAUGAUGUGAUAAUAUAUAUUAAAUUCAUCUGUUAGUAUUUAUAUUAGCUUUUAAAUGUCGAAUUUUCUAUGUUGUGUACAUUUUUAAUCGAGGAAUGCUGGACAACCAGCUUGAUAUAUUAGCUUUUGUAAAAUUUGUAAUACAUAUCAUUUUAAAGCCUCUGUUAUUGUUUUUUCCCUGUCGUUACAUUUUCUUUUAAUUUUACAUGUUGGGUUGUAGGAAAUGAACAGAUAUGGAUGUUCGUCCCUAAUUCCUCGAAAGAAAGGGAAACUAUAUAUAUGCAAGCUCCUCACAACAAAAAUGGGAUUUGCCAUGCGUAAAAACUAUAUAUAGGCAAGCUCCUCACAACAAAAAUGGGAUUCGACAUGUGUCAAACUUCGGCUCCUCUACCAGUUAGAGACCUUAUAAUUCUCGAACAUGCCUUCAUGUUUGUGAGACUCAUCUGCACUAAAAAAUUGUUACUAGGUUUUGAGAACCAUUGCAACUAAAAAAGAGCAUGAUGAUGUUAAUCUUCGCUAAAAAAAUUAUCGUGAUUUUUUUAGCUGCGAUUGGAAUCUUCACUAUUUUUUUUUGGGUGUUCUUAGCCAAUUUCUUUGAGUGCAGUCAUCGUAUAAAAUAACCAUUGCAACUAAAAAAGAGCGCAAGAAUUUACGGCUCCAGGUUGUUGUCCCCUAAAGUGUGUCUCAUUUGUGUCUCCUUACUAAUAUAUUGACACGUGUUAUUUAACUUAAUUUAAAACUUAACUCUAUUAACUUUAUUUUUUUAACAUUUAAAUUUUUAAAAAAUAAAUUCAAAAUAAUAAAAAACUGUUGGGUUAACAAGGUGAACAAACCCAAAUAGGAUUCUUCACCUUCUCAAACGCCUGUAAAACCCAGCCAUCUAAAUCUCUACUCUCAUAAUCUGCAAUAAGAACACCCCUGUUCUUGUAUAUUUUUUCGUUCUUUUUCAAAGCCCAUUCCAUCUUCACUGUUUUAUUUUUUUGUUUUUUUUAACCCAUAUACAAUGAUUAAAAAUUAACACUGAACUUCAUCAUGAACCAUGACAUAUCUUCAGGACUGAGAUAAAUUGUCAAACAUUCUUUGUACUGAUUUUUUUUACAAAAACAAAACAUGAAAGAGGCAUAUGAUAUGAGACAAGAGCAGAGGGAGUGGACAAGAGAUGAAAGUGGGCAUAGAGGGUUCAAGAUUCAUAUACUGGGAUUGAUGCUUGCCCCCAAAUUGUACGAAUUACAGGAAUCCCAAUCCUUCACCCUUGUCUUUUUUUUCUAUUAAUCCCUCACUCGGAUAGGGUUUGAAGAUGAUAAUCGAGAUCGAGAAGAAGAUUGACGCCAGAUUUACUUUGCUCAGGCGUAAGUAUUUCAUCGUAUUUUAAAAUAUUAGCAAAAAGACACAAUAUGAGACACAAAAAAGGGGACAGCAGAUCCUUGGCCAGAACUUACAGGGAUCAAUCCGACUACCUUCAGAUGAUGGCAAGGUGUAUUUGAUAUUGAUGAGUCAACAUCGAUGAUUUACAAAACAAAAAAAAAUACAGGAUGACUUUGGAAUUGAAUGGUUUCAAUGAGAAUUCAACAUUGCACCACGAGAUAAUGAAACAUAUCAGGAAAAAAAAAUCCAAAAGGAGGAGUCACUUCAAUUUUAUUUCUAACGUAGUUGAGUAGAGAGAGCAUGUUAAAUCAAUAACGUGAAUUGCAUGCAACAUUAAUAAUGGUGAAUGGUGGGGUUUAUGAACUAAAUGCUAAAAUUGCUAUAUACCAAAAAGCGAUAAGAGCAUCUGUCAACAAAAUCGCUCAAUAAUUCAGUAUUCAAUUGGUGCUUUUACAAAUUGAUUAUCCGUUUUAUUUUAGUUUAUUUUACUUUUGCUUAUUUCUUUAAUAUUUUUAAAUUCGUUUUUCUUAUUUUAGAUCUUAAAAUCAACAUUUUUCAAAACUUUGUUUCAAGUAAUUAAUUAAGAUUUGAUUUUAUAUAAAUUAUUCAUUCAUUCUUUGUGGAGGACGAUCUUACUUGAGAUAUACUACGAUUACCUUGUUCUCUUACAAGUAUUUUUAUCCCUACCUUUGCAGGUGGUAAAAAUUUUAUCAGUUAUGUUGAUGGUAGCAAAAAUGUGUCCUCAAGCCAUGUUCUACCUGAUUUUAGAUAUGUGACCAAGAAGAAAAUGUAGGAUCCACAGGCGGCGGCACAAGUACUUACAGUUGUUGCAGAAGCUUUGAGGAAAUUGGAAUGGUGCCUAAGCAGCCAGACUACUUUUAAGGCAAAGGCAAGAUUUAGCCAGAAGCCUUGGUAUUGAACCAAGUGUUCAGUGGCCUAACCCAUCUCUUUCGAAAGGUUUGGCAAUAACUCUGCGUAGGUUUUUGUAGGCUUCCAAGCCUUCCUUCUGCUUAAUAUAACUCUUGUAACCUUUUUUCUUUAUUAAUUUAUGUUUAUUACCGUAUUUACUAAAGGUGAUAAUAAACAUAUAAUUACUAACAUUUUUUCCGUCAUAUUUUUAUUUAUGAUCCCACUGCCAAUUUAUUCUUUAACUACAGUCUUUCUUCUUCCGUAUUUUCUAUCUUGUACUUAUUGGCCAGAGAAGGGUGUUUUUGUCGUGAAACUUUGGACUCAUUCCUUUUUGUGCAUAUAGGUUUGAGUCAAACAAUAAUUCACUUGGGUUGUUAUAUCCUGAAUGAAUAAGUCAAAAGAUAUAUUGUUACACCGGUUUGUGAACUUCUUUGUGCUUCUGUCAGUAGUAUGAAAAUGAUUUUUCUGUGUUCUAAAUGCAAUGCAAAUGAAUGUGUAAUGUACAUAUACCUGUCCGCAUGUAUGAAUUUGAUUUGUAUCUCAUGAGAGAAAUCUGCUCAGAAAGAGUGCGUUUAAUUUCCCUAGGUUUCUUUCAUCAUCUCUCACUCCAUUUGAAGGGAUGAGCCUAUUGAAUUAAUGAAAAUAAACAAAAUAAUUGUGAAAAAUAAUAAUAACUAAAUCCGAAUUAAAUUAAUUAAUUAUUUAAAUUGAUAUUAAAGCCCGAACCUAGGAAACCUAAAUCCAAGGCUCAUCUUUUCAUUAUAUAUAUAUAUAUAUAAUUAUCACACCCCAAAGCUCAAUUUCGAUGUUCAAGCUCAAAUUUGUUCUCCAUAGUUCAUCUUUCCAAUCACCUUGUAAGAGGGACUUGACGAUAUAAAGUGUAAGAAAAUUUUCAAUUUAACCAAUGUGAGACAAAUAUAAAUAAAAGUUCUACUCCAACAGAGGGAUGUAAAUUCUUAUAAUAAAAUAAAUAUUAUUGGACCGGGAUGGGCUAAAAUGCCUAGUUUGCUCAUUGUUGAUUGGCCAAUAUUAUUUCUUCUUGUAAAUUAUUUGAGUAAUGCUAGGGAGACUAAAUUUAUAGAUAAAGUUUUAGAAACUAAAUGACAUGAAAGUUGUCGAUUGGUUUAUUACUUAAGCGUUGGUAAACGUGCUUGUGGGACGAUAAAAUCUGGUUUCGACUCAUGGGCCAAUACCAAUCAUCCAAAGAUGGUGUUGUGCAAGAUAAACUGUGAGGAAAGCACACAAGAAGUAUACAGACGCAAGUGAGACGUGUCUAGAUAACUACCUCCAUUACGGAGGAUCACUAAGGAAGAGGGAGAGGAAGACAGGUCGUGGUACUUGUUUCCCAAGCAUGUAGUCCUAUAACUAUGGAGAGAAGCCACAAAGCAAGGUACGUAAUCAGAACCCGAGAGAAACCAAAGAAUAUAAAAUAAAUCGACUAACUUGAGUGUCAGAGUAUCUCUUGCAGGUACCCCGCCCAGGUAAGCUACGGAGAAAGACUGCUUGGGGACACCUCUAAUGAAGGAUUCGGCGAACAUGAGAAUUGCAAUCAACAAAUCUAUGGAGGUAUUUCUUCUCAUAGGAAAUUUUGCUCCAAUAGUGCUCAUUUCUAUUUGUGACACAUAAUUUUGUUUGCAAAUUUAGUUUCAAAAUUUUAUCUCCCUAACAUUACCCGAACUAUUUUUGAGAAAAUAAUUCUCCAUCAUCCCCGUGGACCGCCUAUAUCGGUUAUCCCCCCUUGUGAGUAUCGAUGACUGAAAUGGACAUUAUACAGAAAAGGAAAGGACAGUUUCUUAAAGGAAGAAAACAUUUUAUUAUAUUUGCUAUGUAUGAAAUUACAAUGUUUGUUCACGUUUCUUAACAAAAGUCUGCUUAAUUAUCCUAUUUAAUAAGAAAUUAAUAUCGAGACUAGUAUAUAAUAGUAAUUAUAAAACAUAAGUAAAAUCUCGUUUGGAAGUGUUAUUAGAAUGACAAAAAACGGCUUUACAAAAAUAUUUCUGAGUACUAAAAACACUUAAAGUACUUCUGUAAAAAGCACCAGUUAUGUGCUUCGUGUAGAAAAUACUUAUUUUUUCAAAACUCACUUGCAUUUUUAUUAAAAAUUGAUUCUAAAAAUAUUUUCAAAAAAAACGAGUCAUAAGUUAUGAAACACAUCUGUGAAGUGGGAGCAGGGAUGAGGGAGGGUUCCGCGAUUUGUGAAAACUUACAUAAAAAUUUCACUUACGGACAAAGCAAAUCCUUGCACCACAAUCCCUUUUACACACACGUAUGCAUAUAAUACUACUCGAUCUUAAAAUGCGAACUAGCUAGCUGAUACACACACACACACACACACAUAUAUAUAUAUAUAUAUAUAUAUAUGUGUGAUUUAUGGGAGAGGAUCCUCUCCGGACCCAAACCCACCGGAUCCUUCUUCUUUGGAGGCCAAGUCGGCGUCGUCGGCCUUCCCAGAGUCAGCGUCGUGCUUCACCGGAGAUCUAUUUUAUAAUCACGCGACCAGUUGCUGGGAAUAGGCUGGAACAGAGGUCGGCGUUGGACAUCUAGUCGUAGAACGUGAUGAAAGCAACAGUAGCACCAUGUUGAUGUACCCUUAAUUUAUAGACUGAGCUCAAGGUACCAUUACCGAUAUGACUUGUCGCUGAAGCAUUUGGUGGCUACUCUCAGCCAGUGAAAAUCGGCGGCAUAAUUCCUGCUACUCGCCUUCAAAGAAGAAGGAUCCGGUGGGCUUGGUAGGAUCCUCUCCCAUGAUUUAUCUAAAACGGCAACACGAAAGGCGAAUCCUUGUUAUUAUUCACAGUGGUACCGCUCGAUCAUAAUUAAUAUGCCAAGUUUUUUUUUUUUUUUAUUAAAAAAUCUUGCCGGUACGAGAGAAAUUUAUUACACGGGAGGACAAAAAUCUCACCCUUCAUAAAGUAAGAAAAACUAAAUACAAGAAAAAAAAAAAAGAGACAUACACCUUACCUCUCUUGAAAAAGAGAAUACAAAAAAAAAAUACACAAGUAAUUAAGCAAAUUGACCAAAGAGAAGCACAAUACAUAAGUAAUUAAGCAAAUAAUAUUUAAGGCUAGUUAUGGAUUAGCAAAUGUCAAUCCAGAACCACUGAACCUCUCAUCUAUGAUCUGAUCCAUACGUUUUGUCAUGUCAUCAGUGAAGAAGUUUUUCCAAUCCCCAACUUGGCCUUUCCUGAAGAAAUCACUGUUCUCGACUACAAUAUUGGCUUUAACAAAGUACUGUUGCGUCCUGGAGGUUUUAUUUAUCUCCAAGCUGCUCAGAUUCUCAAAACUACAAAGCUUUAUGAUCUGCUGCACCACCCCUUUGCUCUCCUCCUCCUUUGAAAAAGGUUGACCCAAGAACUCAGCCAGUCUCUUCACAUUAGCAGAUGGCUCCUUCCUGAGAUCCUCAUAUUUUAAGAACAAAACUUGCUCUGGCAUUUCCAAGCUUGCUUUCCAAAACCCUAGCACAUGGUCCCAAUAGGGCCCGU